Arvicanthis niloticus (Nile rat) is the source of this 454-nucleotide long non-coding RNA. RefSeq lists it as uncharacterized. The record is from RefSeq and is a predicted model, not a curated record. NCBI's taxonomy places the organism in Eukaryota, Metazoa, Chordata, Mammalia, Rodentia, Muridae.
GCUAAGCACCAUCUUUCUCUCUACAGCCACCAUCCUGUCAUAUGAACGCCAGGUCCUCUGUUCUCAACCUUGAGAUCCUCAUCUCUCAGUCAGUCAAGAGGUAUAGCUCCAUUGCAGGAAGUGUCUGAGGGGACACCGGUGAGAAGAUCAAGGCAAGCCUCAAUGGGAAAGCAGCUUCAGAGGCCUCUGGGGCAAAGGGAGUAGCAGAGAGCUGGCUACUGGAAAGGCUCUAGGAUUGAUGCAGUCGAAGAGCAAAGAAGGGGGUGCAGCAGAGAUGUGUAACUUCUGACCACCUGGCUGGACCUUUACCACGAUAAGGAGGCCUCAGGUUCCCUGUCUCUGAUGGCCCACAUCUGCUCCUGAGACUGCACGGGAACCAGAGUACAGGGAGCCGGGCCCUUCUCAACUCCCCCUCCCCACUUGGAGGCCCAAGGAAGGGCGGAGUGGGCAGGCA